GUGCAGCAGUCGCGAAACCUCCGCAAUACACGAAAGUGUGACGGGGCCAUCCCGAGUGCCGUCCGCUGAGGACGGCUUUUCCCCAGUGUACACAGCUGGGGGAAUAAGGAGAGGGCAAGCCUGGUGUCAGCCGCCGCGGUAAUACCAGCUCUCCGAGUGGUGGGGACGCUUAUUGGGCCUAAAGCAUCCGUAGCCGGCUGGGCAAGUCCUCCGUUAAAUCCAACGAUUCAAUCGUUGGGCUGCGGGGGAUACUGUCCAGCUUGGGGGCGGGAGAGGCCGACGGUAUUCCCGGGGUAGGGGUGAAAUCCUAUAAUCCCGGGAGGACCACCAGUGGCGAAGGCUGUCGGCUAGAACGCGCCCGACGGUGAGGGAUGAAAGCUGGGGGAGCGAACCGGAUUAGAUACCCGGGGUAGU
This 414-nucleotide ribosomal RNA is filed under the name uncultured microorganism. RNAcentral's name for it is "bacterial SSU rRNA". It matches the Rfam family "Archaeal small subunit ribosomal RNA", at positions 330 to 745 of the family's 1478-position model. The record is from RNAcentral.